This 1462-nucleotide long non-coding RNA is filed under the name Musa acuminata (dwarf banana). RNAcentral describes it as "long non-coding RNA (MACU_LNC001529)". The record is from RNAcentral. Lineage: Eukaryota; Viridiplantae; Streptophyta; Magnoliopsida; Zingiberales; Musaceae.
CCUAUAAUGGGUCUGGAAAUCGGAGAUCAGCUGGUCCAGGGCCUAGGAUGCCCUUGUCAUGCUCUCCAAGGACGGUGCCGGGAACAAGGUUCGUGUCUGUUUGCCCAUUUCUAUCUUCUUCUGUAGGAGCCGGCUGUCUCCAGCUGCCCCCUAACCAUUCGUGCUGCUAAUAAGAUGAAUAAUACAGGGUUAAGGAACAUAAGACUCUGUCCAACAAAGUCAGAAAAGGCUAUAUAGUUCAAUUUAGAACAUCACGACUUACUUCUUCAUGACUGUAAUUUCCAUCAAGCAACAUAGGGGUCACGACGGGUGGGACGACAUCUGGGUCGGGCUUCUGAAAUACAAAUGUGGAAUACAAACCUGAAGAAACAAUGAUGCUAAAGUUAGCCUCAUGGGGAGAAUCCUUGAAGCAUCAUACAGGAGACAGAUUUAUCACCUAGCAAAUCAAAGGAACGAGCAAGAAGCUUCCCUCGAGGAUCCACAAAAUUUGCACCAUAGCUGAAGAGCAUUCCGGCAAACUGUGUUCUGAGAACAAAUGACAUGUAUCUUCAGGUCUGGUGACCCAGAAAACUAAAGGGAAAAACCUUUGGCGAUAAAAUAGGAUCUGAAAUAGGACAACAUCAAUGUUUGAUAAAAUCAUUAAACCAACCGUAGGCUAGAUUGGAGAUGUUAACAAACAUCAAUCUUGUCAUAUUUCAGAUAGAUUGGAGAUGUUAAGUAUGCUCUGAUCAAAGAUUAAUGAUGCUAGUCUCUAACUUUAUAAGUGUCAAUAAGUGUUUUUGCUAUGUAUAUUAUUACAACUCUACAUUUUCAAUAAAAGUGGUAAAAGUCAGGCUUGACCAACUCCGAUUCCCAAAGCAUGUUUAUCAACUAGAAUAUCUAAAAAGGAUGGAUUGAAGAUCCAAAUGCAGCCAUUAUUCCUUGUCAUUUGUAACAAAGAAUGUCUAUAGGAGCUAUUUUCCACAACGACAACAACGUUCACACAUAAUAAUUAUAACCAUGGCUUCUUUAACCAGAACGAAAUUAUCGAGCACAUUAGAAAAAGGGCCAAUGCACUCGAGGCAUUAAAUCCCAUAAAUGUCGGAGGCAAGAGGUACAAAAAGAGCACAUGCCUAAGCAAAACAAGGAACAAUUUUAAAAAUUUUAAUGAUAAUACAUUCUAUCUAUAUUUUCUCAUGCUUGAUAUGUUUUUGAUCAAUUACAAUGUGAAACACUUGCAUGUUGUUAGCUUAUUAUUUGCAAACAUGAUAGAUGACUAUUGAUGCAAAAUAUGGUAAGCCUUGUUGUUGGCAGGGCAUGACAAUAAUAGCCAUCAGCUCAACAUUAUGGAGUUGCACCAACACAUGCCUGUCAUUGAAAUUGACAAAUGUUACUUAAGAUGAUACUCUUGUCCCACUUAUGGACUCUUCCCUAGGACAGUGUGUGGUCCUUUGGGAUUUAAAGAUUCUAAUGUCUAUGCCCC